Molecule: ribosomal RNA, 826 nt
Filed under: uncultured organism
Description: bacterial SSU rRNA
Rfam family: Bacterial small subunit ribosomal RNA
Source: RNAcentral
GGAGCGAGUACGGCGGCAAACGGGUGAGUACCACGUGGGUAACUUGCCUUCGGGUGGGGGACAACCUCGGGAAACCGAGGCUAAUACCGCAUAACGUUAUGCUUUCGCAUGUUAGCAUAACCAAAGGGGGGGAUCUUCGGACCUCCCGCCUGAAGAGAGGCCCGCGCCUGAUUAGCUAGUUGGUAGGGUAAUGGCCUACCAAGGCGAUGAUCAGUAGCCGGUCUGAGAGGAUGGCUGGCCACACUGGGAUUGAGAUACGGCCCAGACUCCUACGGGAGGCAGCAGUCUAGAAGCUUCGGCAAUGGGCGAAAGCCUGACCGAGCGACGCCGCGUGCAGGACGACGGUCUUCGGAUUGUAAACUGCUUUCGACAGGGAUGAACGGUAGGGAAGUUAAUAACUUCUUUAUUUGACAGUACCUGGAGAAGAAGCCCCGGCUAACUCCGUGCCAGCAGCCGCGGUAAUACGGAGGGGGCAAGCGUUGUUCGGAUUUAUUGGGCGUAAAGCGCGUGUAGGCGGUAGAGUAAGUCGAAUGUUAAAGACCCACGGCUCACCCGGGGGAAUGCGUCCGAUACUGCUUUACUUGAGUGCGGGAGAGGAAAGUGGAAUCCCUGGUGUAGCGGUGAAAUGCGUAGAUCUCAGGAGGAACACCGGUGGCGAAGGCGGCUUUCUGGCCCGCAACUGACGCUGAGACGCGAAAGCGUGGGGAGCGAACGGGAUUAGAUACCCCGGUAGUCCACGCCGUAAACGUUGGAUACUAGGUGUGGGAGGUUUUCUACCCCUUCUGUGCCGUAGCUUACGCAUUAAGUAUCCCGCCUGGGGAGUACG